UCAUGAAGGAAGCAUGGUAAUGUGCACGGAAAUCGAGGCAAAUGGGUUGUCACGUCUGCUCCCAAUGAUGCAUUUUUUUGGCUUUGAUUUGGGGGCCUGGUUAAGACCCACAUUU
Non-coding RNA from Morus notabilis, 115 nucleotides. Lineage: Eukaryota; Viridiplantae; Streptophyta; Magnoliopsida; Rosales; Moraceae. The record is from Rfam.